UCGAGAAUCUUCCCCAAUGCACGAAAGUGUGAGGGAGCGACGCCGCGUGCCAGAAGAAGGCCUUCGGGUUGUAAAUGGCUUUUGUAAGAGAAAAAUUUGCGAUGGUAUCUUACGAAUAAGGGGCUGCUAACUUCGUGCCAGCAGCAGCGGUAAUACGAAGGCCCCGAGCGUUAUCCGGAUUUAUUGGGCGUAAAGCGUUAAAAGGCUGUUUUGUGUGUCGGGUGUUAAAUCCCAGGGCUCAACCCUGGAUCUGCAUCCGAAACUGCAAAACUUGAGGUCGGGAGAGGCAAGUGGAAUUGCUGGUGUAGCAGUAAAAUGCGUUUAUAUCAGCAGGAACAUCGAUAGCGAAGGCAGCUUGCUAGAACGAAUCUGACGCUAAAUAACGAAAGCGUGGGUAGCG
RNAcentral lists this ribosomal RNA (400 nucleotides) under uncultured bacterium. Its description in RNAcentral is "bacterial SSU rRNA". It matches the Rfam family "Bacterial small subunit ribosomal RNA", at positions 355 to 770 of the family's 1533-position model. The record is from RNAcentral.